UACGUAGGGGGCUAGCGUUGUCCGGAAUUACUGGGCGUAAAGGGUGCGUAGGCGGCAUUUUAAGUCAGAUGUGAAAUACCCGGGCUUAACCCGGGGGGUGCAUUUGAAACUGGAAUACUUGAGUGCAGGAGAGGUAAGUGGAAUUCCUAGUGUAGCGGUGAAAUGCGUAGAUAUUAGGAGGAACACCAGUGGCGAAGGCGACUUACUGGACUGUAACUGACGCUGAGGCACGAAAGCGUGGGGAGCAAACAGG
Molecule: ribosomal RNA, 253 nt
Filed under: uncultured bacterium
Lineage: Bacteria
Description: partial 16S ribosomal RNA
Rfam family: Bacterial small subunit ribosomal RNA
Source: RNAcentral